Molecule: unclassified non-coding RNA, 309 nt
Filed under: plant metagenome
Description: partial contains 5.8S ribosomal RNA, internal transcribed spacer 2, and large subunit ribosomal RNA
Rfam family: 5.8S ribosomal RNA (bases 1-105)
Source: RNAcentral
GAAAUGCGAUAAGUAGUGUGAAUUGCAGAAUUCAGUGAAUCAUCGAAUCUUUGAACGCACAUUGCGCCCCUUGGUAUUCCAUGGGGCAUGCCUGUUCGAGCGUCAUUUGUACCCUCAAGCUCCGCUUGGUGUUGGGUGUUUGUCCCGUCUCCGCGCGUGGACUCGCCCCAAAGUGAUUGGCAGCCGGCGUACUGGUCCCGGAGCGCAGCACAUGUCGCGCAAACGAGUGCCUUGGUACGGCGGCGUCCAUAAGCCCCUCUCUCACGCUCUUGACCUCGGAUCAGGUAGGGAUACCCGCUGAACUUAAGC